GUUUCUAACUGUAAGAUAGUGGUGUAGGUGUUUCUAACUGUAAGAUAGUGGUGUAGGUGUUUCUAACUGUCAAGAUAGUGGUGUAGGUGUUUCUGUCAAGAUAGUGGUGUAGGUGUUUCUAACUGUCAAGAUAGUGGUGUAGGUGUUUCUAACUGUCAAGAUAGUGGUGUAGGUGUUUCUAACUGUCAAGAUAGUAGUGUAGGUGUUUCUAACUGUCAAGAUAGUAGUGUAGGUGUUUCUAACUGUAAGAUAGUGGUGUAGGUGUUUCUAACUGUCAAGAUAGUGGUGUAGGUGUUUCUAACUGUCAAGAUAGUGGUGUAGGUGUUUCUAACUGUCAAGAUAGUGGUGUAGGUGUUUCUGUCAAGAUAGUGGUGUAGGUGUUUCUAACUGUCAAGAUAGUGGUGUAGGUGUUUCUAACUGUCAAGAUAGUGGUGUAGGUGUUUCUAACUGUCAAGAUAGUGGUGUAGGUGUUUCUAACUGUCAAGAUAGUAGUGUAGG
Long non-coding RNA from Pecten maximus, 498 nucleotides. RefSeq lists it as uncharacterized. The transcript is spliced from 4 exons. The record is from RefSeq and is a predicted model, not a curated record. Lineage: Eukaryota; Metazoa; Mollusca; Bivalvia; Pectinida; Pectinidae.